CAACACACUGUCCAGCUAUAGGUCUGUUCAUCAACACACUGUCCAGCUAUAGGUCUGUUCAUCAACACACUGGAGAUACUGUAUGGCCUGUGUCUGUGUGUAUCUAUGGUCUGACAUUAUAAGCUAUGAGAAAGGCAGCAUAGAUGCACGAUAAGGCAGAUCCGUACCACACACACA
This is a long non-coding RNA of Coregonus clupeaformis (lake whitefish), 177 nucleotides long. RefSeq lists it as uncharacterized. The record is from RefSeq and is a predicted model, not a curated record. NCBI's taxonomy places the organism in Eukaryota, Metazoa, Chordata, Actinopteri, Salmoniformes, Salmonidae. The transcript has 2 exons.